UAGGAUUUGGGAAGACUUUUGCAAUCAUUGCUGAAAGUCGAUGUUUGUAUUGGUGAUUUGGGUUUUUUUUUGCAAUAAAGUUAAGGUAGGUACUCUUGACUAUUUUGUGAAAUUGGAGAAACUUCUGCAGUUGAAAUUUAGAGGUGUCUAGAGGAUUGAAUAUACCGAGUGCAUGCAAAAGUUUGUAUUAAUCUGAUAGAACAGAUAGAGGAUAUUUGACCAUUAGUAUAAAGAGGUAUCAGAAGUUAGCAAAUUGGAGUUGUUUAAGGUUUCUGUAAUAUCUGGAGAUCUACCACCUGAAAUAAGGUGACUUUUGGCUUGGUAAGUCGAGGACUUGUAGGCGGCAGUCAAGAUACAUCAGUGUGGAUUUAUGGCAUUUUUUUGCAAUCUGUAAGUUAAAUUGGAUUGAAACUUCUUGAGCAUUUAGAAGGCUUGCAAAGACACUAGUGGUAGAAGUUUAUAACAAUCGGAUGGUCAGAUUGAGGAUUACAGCUUAUCA
Molecule: long non-coding RNA, 499 nt
Filed under: Physcomitrium patens
Lineage: Eukaryota; Viridiplantae; Streptophyta; Bryopsida; Funariales; Funariaceae
Description: long non-coding RNA (PPAT_LNC005119)
Source: RNAcentral